UUUACUUUGCCUGUUACAGUGGUAAGUAGAGAUCUACAAUAUGUCAUUUUGAAAUUCUGUCAAUUCAAUAUUUACAACAAACUAUUAGUCACUGGCCAUAAUAUUUUGCUGCUUGGUGGAUGAAAAGCCUGUUUUUAUUAAUAUGACAUAGCCAUUCCAGAAGAUGUCGUGAAGAUGCAGGUGAUCAAAGUGCGGCUGCAGUCCGCCUCCUCAGCGGACCUGGAGGUCAUGAAGGACGCCUUGUUGCAGCAGCUGCGUCAGAGACUGAAGGACCAAGGCGUGAGUGACGACGUGCAGCUCCGAUGGGUGACGCAGCCUGAUGGGAGGGUCUUCCACAAGGAAGGGAAAGAGGAGGAGAAGAACGAGGAGGAGCAGGAGGAGAGCUGCGGUCCCUGAACAUGCUUUUGAUUCUUCACAUAGUGCCGUUUCACUGGAGAAUAUUAUUCAUGACUUAGCAUGAAAAAGUA
Myripristis murdjan (pinecone soldierfish) is the source of this 467-nucleotide long non-coding RNA. RefSeq lists it as uncharacterized. Lineage: Eukaryota; Metazoa; Chordata; Actinopteri; Holocentriformes; Holocentridae. The record is from RefSeq and is a predicted model, not a curated record. The transcript has 2 exons.